Molecule: ribosomal RNA, 556 nt
Filed under: Acinetobacter baumannii
Lineage: Bacteria; Pseudomonadati; Pseudomonadota; Gammaproteobacteria; Moraxellales; Moraxellaceae
Description: bacterial SSU rRNA
Rfam family: Bacterial small subunit ribosomal RNA
Source: RNAcentral
UAACUGAAGAGUUUGAUCAUGGCUCAGAUUGAACGCUGGCGGCAGGCUUAACACAUGCAAGUCGAGCGGGGGAAGGUAGCUUGCUACUGGACCUAGCGGCGGACGGGUGAGUAAUGCUUAGGAAUCUGCCUAUUAGUGGGGGACAACAUCUCGAAAGGGAUGCUAAUACCGCAUACGUCCUACGGGAGAAAGCAGGGGAUCUUCGGACCUUGCGCUAAUAGAUGAGCCUAAGUCGGAUUAGCUAGUUGGUGGGGUAAAGGCCUACCAAGGCGACGAUCUGUAGCGGGUCUGAGAGGAUGAUCCGCCACACUGGGACUGAGACACGGCCCAGACUCCUACGGGAGGCAGCAGUGGGGAAUAUUGGACAAUGGGGGGAACCCUGAUCCAGCCAUGCCGCGUGUGUGAAGAAGGCCUUAUGGUUGUAAAGCACUUUAAGCGAGGAGGAGGCUACUUUAGUUAAUACCUAGAGAUAGUGGACGUUACUCGCAGAAUAAGCACCGGCUAACUCUGUGCCAGCAGCCGCGGUAAUACAGAGGGUGCGAGCGUUAAUCGGAUU